Molecule: ribosomal RNA, 429 nt
Filed under: uncultured archaeon
Lineage: Archaea
Description: bacterial SSU rRNA
Rfam family: Archaeal small subunit ribosomal RNA
Source: RNAcentral
CACCAGCCCCUCGAGUGGUGGGGAUGAUUAUUUGGCCUAAAGCGUCCGUAGCCGGCCGGGUAAGUUUCCCGUUAAAUCCAGCGUCUCAAGCGUUGGACUGCGGGAAAUACUGCCUGGCUAGAGAGUGGGAGAGGUCAGCGGUAUUCUGGGGGUAGGGGCGAAAUCCUUUGAUCCCCGGAGGACCACCAGUGGCGAAGGCUGCUGACUAGAACACGUCUGACGGUCAGGGACGAAAGCUGGGGUAGCGAACCGGAUUAGAUACCCGGGUAGUCCCAGCCGUAAACGAUGCAUGCUAGGUGUUGGGUUGGCCACGAGCCACCCCAGUGCCGCAGGGAAGCCGUUAAGCAUGCCGCCUGGGAAGUACGAUCGCAAGAUUGAAACUUAAGGAAUUGGGCGGGGGAGCACCACCAGGCGUGAAGCCUGCGGUUU